This 431-nucleotide long non-coding RNA is filed under the name Nicotiana benthamiana. Its description in RNAcentral is "long non-coding RNA (NBEN_LNC030267)". The record is from RNAcentral. Lineage: Eukaryota; Viridiplantae; Streptophyta; Magnoliopsida; Solanales; Solanaceae.
CAGGUUUGAAUCCUAAAGUGAAAGGGUACGUAUAGACAAGGAGAAUCCAGUUAAGUAUAAGUAAUUCUCUGAUUUGGGUUAGGAAUAACUAUGGAAAGUCGUGACUCCAGUGGAAAUUUCUGCGAACUAAAGAAAUCAAGCCUUCCACAAUCUGAGUGGGGUAAAUGUCGGCACGAUCUAAAGGAGAUACUUGAUUUCUAAAAGACUCUCUAUCGUUAUAAAAAUAUAGUUUCGCAUGAACUAUCUCUUCAACUGUAGGUUCACGAAGAGGUUCAGAAGAAUCUUUACCCCUAGAAGAAGAUCUUUGGGAGAGAGAACCUCUAAUUCUACAAGAGGGGCUAGAACUAGGUGAAGGAAUAGAUGAACCCCGUGUGGACGAAGAUUCUAAAUUACAGAGUUUACCUCAUCUUCUGCUCCUACUGGGGGCGUUG